Molecule: ribosomal RNA, 253 nt
Filed under: uncultured bacterium
Lineage: Bacteria
Description: partial 16S ribosomal RNA
Rfam family: Bacterial small subunit ribosomal RNA
Source: RNAcentral
UACGAAGGGGGCUAGCGUUGUUCGGAUUUACUGGGCGUAAAGCGCACGUAGGCGGAUCGAUCAGUCAGGGGUGAAAUCCCAGAGCUCAACUCUGGAACUGCCUUUGAUACUGUCGAUCUGGAGUAUGGAAGAGGUGAGUGGAAUUCCGAGUGUAGAGGUGAAAUUCGUAGAUAUUCGGAGGAACACCAGUGGCGAAGGCGGCUCACUGGUCCAUUACUGACGCUGAGGUGCGAAAGCGUGGGGAGCAAACAGA